UGAAAGAUUGAAGUACCGGAAGGGGCCCGAAGUACCUAUAAAAGCCAUGUGGCCCGACCAUGGGUUCGUGUAAUUCACUACAAUACCGUCCAGCUGGUAUAAUGUAUCAGUGGAAGACAGGACAAUUUGCUGCCGUCACUGCUGAUAGAUCGCAACAAUAAAUAACAUCCAUGCGCGGAUACAAAUCGCGGCCUUGAGGAAAAUCCUUCUCAUGGUUGAUGCGGAAUACACGUACAUUAACCCAGCUCUGAAUCUGUUGACCAUGUCGAUGAUGCUUGCGUACAACACAGAGAGAACGGUCGUCCUAUAUACAUAUCAAAACUACCUUAAGCACACAGACAUGACUCUUCGACGCGACAACGACUAUAUAAGCAGCCAAGGCGUGUGUUUUGGAGCCAAGCUGGUCCGUGGCGCAUAUAUGCUCUCAGAACGAUCGCGAGCCGAGACGCUGCACUACCCGGACCCCGUGCACAGUACAAUCGAGGACACGGCCAAAAUGUACGGACAGGCUGUGGACUUCAUGUUCGGUCGUAUUCGGCAAAAUCCGGAAAGUAACACGGUGAUUGUUGCAACGCACAACGAGAUAGCUAUAGAACAUGCUAUGGCAAGGAUGCUUGACUAUAACAUAGCAAAGCGUGGAGGAUCCAUCAUGUUCGCGCAGAUCUUUGGCAUGGGAGAUUACAUAACGUACACUUUAGGAAAGGAAGGAUUCUUGGCGUACAAAUCUAUCCCCUAUGGAUCGCUGAGAGACACACUACCCUAUCUGUCGAGACGGGCACAGGAGAACAGGGCGAUUCUACAGGGGACCAGGCGAGAACGAGAACUACUCAAAGCUGCACUCCUAGACAGAUUGUGGCCGAAAAUAUUUACCAAAGGAUGCAUCUAGAGACCGACAUAUGACAGACAGAGUCAGAGAGACAUAUAUUUUCCGGGAGAGCAUGACUCGACCCCCACCCCUCCACUCUAAACCUCGCUCGCCACAGUCUAGACCCAACUUCCGCUAAACCUGCUGCACACGCGUCUGUUACGGACAGUAAAACAAAUGUGUGUCAGUUUACACAUAGACAAUGGAGGAAAUGCGUGCCGUUUUAAGUGCAGGAUGUGGGAAAAUUUAACUGAUCAAGACCUUCACUCUCUGUGUCGCCCUUACGCCCACAGCGAAAGGUAGACUAUUGUUUGUUUCUUUAGGUCACGGCCCGUGCAGUAUAUUCACUUCUCGUGCUAAUUGUGUACUGUGUAAAUGUCUAUUUUUCAUUAUAUUAUGAAUGUAACUUAAUUUAGAUUAUUUAUUAAUGUUUAGUUUUAUACAUUGUGAAUAUGUUACCAUGGGUUAUUUAUUAAUGUUAAAUUAAUAAAUAUUUAAUUAUAUGCUUGAAGUAGCGCUUAUUCAAUUAGUUUAUCCAAUUGUGUUUUCUUUAUUUUUUCUAUUUUUUGUAUCAACAUACUGCAGAGAGUAUAUUUGUAUAACUUAAGACUAUAUUUCUACAACUUUAGUAUCUUUUUAUGCGAAUGUAUGUAUCAUGGUGUUUUAUAUGUUUUAAGAUUAUUGUUAUUGUUUUACAGGGUUUUGUCAUAGACUACCCUCAAUAAAGGACCCUUUCACA
This 1604-nucleotide unclassified non-coding RNA is filed under the name Gigantopelta aegis. RNAcentral describes it as "hydroxyproline dehydrogenase-like, transcript variant X3". Lineage: Eukaryota; Metazoa; Mollusca; Gastropoda; Neomphalida; Peltospiridae. The record is from RNAcentral.